Molecule: long non-coding RNA, 373 nt
Filed under: Brassica rapa (field mustard)
Lineage: Eukaryota; Viridiplantae; Streptophyta; Magnoliopsida; Brassicales; Brassicaceae
Description: long non-coding RNA (BRAP_LNC003601)
Source: RNAcentral
CGAUCCUCUUCCUCAAGCUUCCAUGUAUUCUCCAUUGUGUAACCUUGAACCACAACUACCACGAGCUCCAAUCGUCAUCAGUAGAUCAUCCCCACCAUGACCUUCUUCUCUCCACCUACUUUUUGAGCCACAUCUGCGUCAAUUUCCCACGGUGAGCUCCUCCCACCACUCCCCCCCCUCCAUACGCUCAGCUUACGCCAUGGCACUCAUGAGCACUGGAGCUGCUCUCACUGACUACUGUUGCAGCGAGUUCCAGUCUCCGUUCACUCUUUCAUCCGCAGCCACCGAAAUCAGUAACCCUUCCUCCAUUGCACUGUUGUAUCUUUUUCUUCAUCAGCCGCGAUUUCUGUAAACUUGAUUUUACAUGAGCCCU